This 511-nucleotide ribosomal RNA is filed under the name uncultured bacterium. RNAcentral describes it as "partial 16S ribosomal RNA". It matches the Rfam family "Bacterial small subunit ribosomal RNA", at positions 28 to 507 of the family's 1533-position model. The record is from RNAcentral.
GACAAACGCUGGCGGCAUGCCUAACACAUGCAAGUCGAACGGACAGAACAGGGAAGCUUUUCGGAGUGGAACUGGAAAGUUAGUGGCGGAUGGGUGAGUAACGCGUGGACAACCUACCUUGUAAAGGGGAAUAACCUCGAGAAAUCGAAGCUAAUACCCCAUAAUAACCUUGCUUCGCAUGAAGUAAGGAGGAAAGGCGGCCUUAGCCCUGUCGUUACAAUGUGGGUCUGCGUCUGAUUAGCUAGUUGGUGGGGUAAAGGCCUACCAAGGAGACGAGCAGGUGCCGGACGGAGGGAGUGAUAGGCGGCAUUGGCACUGGAACGCGGACCAAGCUACUGCGGGAGGGAGCAGUGGGGAAUGUGCCGCAAUGGGCGGGAGCCUGACACAGUAAUGCCGCGUGAGAGAAAGCGGCCUUGGGGUUGUGAAACUCGGUCCUUAGCGGAGAGAGGGUGUUGUAUUAAAUGACGAUACUAGGACGGUAGUUGGGGAGGAAGCCCCGGCUAACUAUGUG